AGCCCUGGGGUGUCACACGUAAGAUUGCAAAUCUUAAGAAGCAGGCUAAUACCUGCCGGGGCUU
Molecule: transfer RNA, 64 nt
Filed under: Chasmodes bosquianus (striped blenny)
Lineage: Eukaryota; Metazoa; Chordata; Actinopteri; Blenniiformes; Blenniidae
Description: tRNA-Cys
Source: RNAcentral